This 433-nucleotide ribosomal RNA is filed under the name uncultured bacterium. Its description in RNAcentral is "partial 16S ribosomal RNA". It matches the Rfam family "Bacterial small subunit ribosomal RNA", at positions 29 to 507 of the family's 1533-position model. The record is from RNAcentral.
AACGAACGCUGGCGGCAGGCCUAACACAUGCAAGUCGAGCGAGAUCUUCGGGUCUAGCGGCGGACGGGUGAGUAACGCGUGGGAAUAUGCCUCUUGGUACGGAAUAGCCUCGGGAAACUGGGAGUAAUACCGUAUGUGCUCUUUGGGGGAAAGAUUUAUCGCCAAGAGAUUAGCCCGCGUUGGAUUAGGUAGUUGGUGGGGUAAUGGCCUACCAAGCCGACGAUCCUUAGCUGGUUAGAGAGGAUGAUCAGCCACACUGGGACUGAGACACGGCCCAGACUCCUACGGGAGGGAGCAGUGGGGAAUCUUAGAAAAUGGGGGCAACCCUGAAGUAGCCAUGCCGCGUGAGUGAUGAAGGCCUUAGGGUUGUAAAGCUCUUUCAGCUGGGAAGGUAAUGACGGUACCAGCAGAAGAAGCCCCGGCUAACUACGUG